This 664-nucleotide ribosomal RNA is filed under the name Lactobacillus gasseri. Its description in RNAcentral is "bacterial SSU rRNA". It matches the Rfam family "Bacterial small subunit ribosomal RNA", at positions 61 to 685 of the family's 1533-position model. Lineage: Bacteria; Bacillati; Bacillota; Bacilli; Lactobacillales; Lactobacillaceae. The record is from RNAcentral.
GUCGAGCGAGCUUGCCUAGAUGAAUUUGGUGCUUGCACCAAAUGAAACUAGAUACAAGCGAGCGGCGGACGGGUGAGUAACACGUGGGUAACCUGCCCAAGAGACUGGGAUAACACCUGGAAACAGAUGCUAAUACCGGAUAACAACACUAGACGCAUGUCUAGAGUUUAAAAGAUGGUUCUGCUAUCACUCUUGGAUGGACCUGCGGUGCAUUAGCUAGUUGGUAAGGUAACGGCUUACCAAGGCAAUGAUGCAUAGCCGAGUUGAGAGACUGAUCGGCCACAUUGGGACUGAGACACGGCCCAAACUCCUACGGGAGGCAGCAGUAGGGAAUCUUCCACAAUGGACGCAAGUCUGAUGGAGCAACGCCGCGUGAGUGAAGAAGGGUUUCGGCUCGUAAAGCUCUGUUGGUAGUGAAGAAAGAUAGAGGUAGUAACUGGCCUUUAUUUGACGGUAAUUACUUAGAAAGUCACGGCUAACUACGUGCCAGCAGCCGCGGUAAUACGUAGGUGGCAAGCGUUGUCCGGAUUUAUUGGGCGUAAAGCGAGUGCAGGCGGUUCAAUAAGUCUGAUGUGAAAGCCUUCGGCUCAACCGGAGAAUUGCAUCAGAAACUGUUGAACUUGAGUGCAGAAGAGGAGAGUGGAACUCCAUGUGUAGCGGUGGA